This 22-nucleotide microRNA is filed under the name Eisenia fetida (common brandling worm). RNAcentral describes it as "Efe-Mir-87-o14_3p (mature (guide))". Lineage: Eukaryota; Metazoa; Annelida; Clitellata; Crassiclitellata; Lumbricidae. The record is from RNAcentral.
GUGAGCAAAACUUCAGGUGCAU